UGAGGAAUAUUGGACAAUGGGCGCAAGCCUGAUCCAGCCAUGCCGCGUGAGUGAUGAAGGCCCUAGGGUUGUAAAACUCUUUCGUGGGGGACGAUAAUGACGGUACCCGGAGAAGAAGCUCCGGCUAACUUCGUGCCAGCAGCCGCGGUAAUACGAAGGGGGCUAGCGUUGUUCGGAUUUACUGGGCGUAAAGCGCGUGUAGGCGGGUCGUUAAGUUGGGGGUGAAAUCCCGAGGCUCAACCUCGGAACUGCCUUCAAAACUGGCGACCUGGACCUAAGUAGAGGCAAGUGGAAUUGCGAGUGUAGAGGUGAAAUUCGUAGAUAUUCGCAGGAACACCAGUGGCGAAGGCGACUUGCUGGACUUAUGGUGACGCUGAGACGCGAAAGCGUGGGGAGCAAACAGGAUUAGAUACCCCUGUAGUCCCUGAGCGGGCUGGCAAGGCGCAU
RNAcentral lists this ribosomal RNA (447 nucleotides) under uncultured bacterium. RNAcentral describes it as "bacterial SSU rRNA". It matches the Rfam family "Bacterial small subunit ribosomal RNA", at positions 355 to 825 of the family's 1533-position model. The record is from RNAcentral.